UACGUAGGAUGCAAGCGUUGUCCGGAAUUAUUGGGCGUAAAGAGCUCGUAGGUGGUUUGUCGCGUUGUCCGUGAAAACCUCACGAACUCAAUUGUGGGCGUGCGGCGAUACGGGCAGACUGGAGUACUGCAGGGGAGACUGGAAUUCCUGGUGUAGCGGUGGAAUGCGCAGAUAGUCAGGAGGAACACCGGUGGCGAAGGCGGGUCUCUGGGCAGUAACUGACGCUGGAGGAGCGAAAGCCGUGG
This 245-nucleotide ribosomal RNA is filed under the name uncultured bacterium. RNAcentral describes it as "partial 16S ribosomal RNA". It matches the Rfam family "Bacterial small subunit ribosomal RNA", at positions 524 to 765 of the family's 1533-position model. The record is from RNAcentral.